GUUCAGCUUUGUUCUUACUUUGUUUGUGUUACACUGGUAUCCAGUGAUCCAUUGGCACAGAGACACAGUUUCUACUUUGAUACAAUCUGUGUCAGCCUGGCAGUUAAUUUAUUUAGCAGCAUCUUAAAUUUUUUUGUUUUUGCAUAAAAUCCAGCUCCUGCAGGAUAUUUAUCAGCAUCUUUGCAAGAGAGGAUGAAUUCAAAAUAAAGUACAAGAGAAGAAACAUUCAGUUGCCUCCUGGUUAUAAAGCAAAGCCAAACUGGAGAGACCAGUGCCAGAGCCUUUAUUACUAAAAGGCACAUGCAAAGUGCUGUAAGAUUUCACAGGAUGGAGAGAACAUCUGUGGCAGUGGACAGAGUCGUGAGUGACCACAGAAGGCUUUCUGGAGGCAGGACUUGAGGGCCUUUGCCUCAGACAUGCAUACGGCAGGAGUGUGAGAUCUAUGGAGUGGGCUCAGCUCAUGGAGCAAGGAGGACGGCAGGGGCUCCAAUGAUGAUGUCUGCGUAAGAAUUCCCAUUUAAGAUCUUUCCAAGCACAAGAGUCAUGGCCCAAUGGCAGAGUGUCCUAUGCCCACGAAUAAAUCAAGGAUGAAGAAGACAUUUUUGGAACCAGCAUAGUUUCUGGUAGGAUCUUUGCCACUACUUAAAAAAAAAAAA
This 656-nucleotide long non-coding RNA is filed under the name Homo sapiens (human). RNAcentral describes it as "PREDICTED lncRNA (TCONS_00011646)". Lineage: Eukaryota; Metazoa; Chordata; Mammalia; Primates; Hominidae. The record is from RNAcentral.